UAUCAAUAAGCGGAGGAAAAGAAACCAACAGGGAUUGCCCCAGUAACGGCGAGUGAAGCGGCAACAGCUCAAAUUUAUCUGCCCCCAGGGCCGAGUUGUAAUUUGCAGAGGAUGCUUUUGCGCGGCGCCUUCCGAGUUCCCUGGAACGGGACGCCAUAGAGGGUGAGAGCCCCGUCUGGUCGGACGCCAAGCCAGUGUAAAGCUCCUUCGACGAGUCGAGUAGUUUGGGAAUGCUGCUCUAAAUGGGAGGUAUAUGUCUUCUAAAGCUAAAUAUUGGCCAGAGACCGAUAGCGCACAAGUAGAGUGAUCGAAAGAUGAAAAGCACUUUGAAAAGAGGGUUAAACAGUACGUGAAAUUGUUGAAAGGGAAGCGCUUGUGACCAGACUUGGGGGUGAAUCAUCAGCGUUCUCGCUGGUGCACUUCGCCGGGCUCAGGCCAGCAUCAGUUCGCGCGGGGGAUAAAAGCUUCGGGAACGCUCCGGGAGUGUUAUAGCCCGUUGCCCUGCGGUGGACUGAGGUUCGUCCGUCCGCAAUGCUGGCGUAAUGGUCAUCAGCGACCCGUCUUGAAACACGGACCAAGGAGUCGUCUUCGUAUGCGAGUGUUCGGGUGUCAAACCCCUACGCGUAAUGAAAGUGAACGCAGGUGAGAGCUUCGGCGCAUCAUCGACCGAUCCUGAUGUUCUCGGAUGGAUUUGAGUAAGAGCAUACGGGGCCGGACCCGAAAGAAGGUGAACUAUGGCUGUAUAGGGUGAAGCCAGAGGAAACUCUGGUGGAGGCUCGCAGCGGUUCUGACGUGCAAAUCGAUCGUCAAAUAUGGGCAUGGGGGCGAAAGACUAAUCGAACCUUCUAGUAGCUGG
This 856-nucleotide ribosomal RNA is filed under the name Tolypocladium ophioglossoides. Its description in RNAcentral is "eukaryotic LSU rRNA". It matches the Rfam family "Eukaryotic large subunit ribosomal RNA", at positions 41 to 954 of the family's 3401-position model. Lineage: Eukaryota; Fungi; Ascomycota; Sordariomycetes; Hypocreales; Ophiocordycipitaceae. The record is from RNAcentral.